UCCUCACGAAUAUGAAGGAGAGAGUUUA
Molecule: non-coding RNA, 28 nt
Filed under: Rattus norvegicus (Norway rat)
Lineage: Eukaryota; Metazoa; Chordata; Mammalia; Rodentia; Muridae
Source: RNAcentral